UCGGGAAUUUUGGGCAAUGGGGGCAACCCUGAUCCAGCAAUGCCGCGUGAGUGAAGAAGGCCUUCGGGUUGUAAAGCUCUUUUGUCAGGGAAGAAACGGUAGUAGCGAAUAACUAUUACUAAUGACGGUACCUGAAGAAUAAGCACCGGCUAACUACGUGCCAGCAGCCGCGGUAAUACGUAGGGUGCAAGCGUUAAUCGGAAUUACUGGGCGUAAAGCGUGCGCAGGCGGUUGUGUAAGUCAGAUGUGAAAUCCCCGGGCUCAACCUGGGAAUUGCAUUUGAGACUGCACGGCUAGAGUGUGUCAGAGGGGGGUAGAAUUCCACGUGUAGCAGUGAAAUGCGUAGAUAUGUGGAGGAAUACCGAUGGCGAAGGCAGCCCCCUGGGAUAACACUGACGCUCAUGCACGAAAGCGUGGGGAGCAAACAGGAUUAGAUACCCGAGUAGUCCCUGAGCGGGCUGGCAAGGCGCAU
This 472-nucleotide ribosomal RNA is filed under the name uncultured bacterium. RNAcentral's name for it is "bacterial SSU rRNA". It matches the Rfam family "Bacterial small subunit ribosomal RNA", at positions 355 to 825 of the family's 1533-position model. The record is from RNAcentral.